RNAcentral lists this transfer RNA (90 nucleotides) under Amycolatopsis sp. YIM 10. RNAcentral's name for it is "tRNA-Lys". The record is from RNAcentral. Lineage: Bacteria; Bacillati; Actinomycetota; Actinomycetes; Pseudonocardiales; Pseudonocardiaceae.
GCCGCGGCUGGCGGAUGGUGUCCUCGGAGCCGGGACCCUUGUUCCCGGUCGGCAGGUUCGGCAUGCCGAAGUUCGGCGCGUUCUGCGGCG